This 376-nucleotide ribosomal RNA is filed under the name uncultured bacterium. Its description in RNAcentral is "bacterial SSU rRNA". It matches the Rfam family "Bacterial small subunit ribosomal RNA", at positions 524 to 898 of the family's 1533-position model. The record is from RNAcentral.
UACGUAGGGGGCGAGCGUUGUCCGGAAUUACUGGGCGUAAAGAGCGCGUAGGCGGCGCCAUAAGUUCCGUGUGAAAGCCCCCGGCUCAACUGGGGAGGGUCGCGGAAGACUGUGGUGCUGGAGUGUCGGAGAGGGAAGUGGAAGUCCCGGAGUAGGGGUGAAAUCCGUAGAUACCGGGCCGAACACCAGUGGCGAAGGCGACUUCCUGGCCGACGACUGACGCUGAGGCGCGAAAGCGUGGGGAGCGAACGGGAUUAGAUACCCCGGUAGUCCACGCCGUAAACGAUGGACACUAGGUGUUGGUGGUAUCGACCCCACCAGUGCCGGCGCAUACGCAGUAAGUGUCCCGCCUGGGGAGUACGGCCGCAAGGCUAAA